This 1017-nucleotide long non-coding RNA is filed under the name Homo sapiens (human). RNAcentral's name for it is "non-protein coding lnc-CNTLN-1:2". Lineage: Eukaryota; Metazoa; Chordata; Mammalia; Primates; Hominidae. The record is from RNAcentral.
AACUGGACCUCUCCUGGGACAGCAUGUGCUCUGCAUGGAAUAACAAGGUUAAAUGGACAAGGCUGAAUGGCCCUGUGAUGGGGAGUGCCUUUAAGCCACAUGACGGAAAUGAAACAGGAGCCAUAAUGACCAUGACUGGAGGAGAAUCAGAUUCUGGCCUGGCCUGGUUCUGUGAGAUACCUUAAAUCAUACUUUCUGUAGCAUCCCUUAAAGAUAUCACCUCCAUAGGAAGCUGUCUCUCUGCUUUAGAGCAAGAAUCAACAAACUUUUUCUGUAAAGAGCCAGAUAGUGAGUAUUUUAAGCCUUGAGACUCACACAGUCUCUGUUGCAACCCCUCAACUCUGCCAUUGUAAAGCUAUAGCAGCUACAUACAAUCCAUACAUAAACGGGCAUGGCUGUGUUCCAAUAAAACUUUAUUUAUGCACAAAGGCAGCAGGCUUGAUUUGGGCAUGGCCUGUAGAUUAUUGACCCUUGCUUUAGAGUUACACUUUAUACAUUUAUCGCUGAGGCAAAAGUUAAGUCUCUAGAUGUGAAAAUCCGUGGCUUCCAAGUGAGAGCAGUAUAUGGAUGUAGUUAGUUAGACUGGACACAAGGUUGGUGAUACAGGUGAAUCUGCCUAAUGUAGCAUAUGAUACUGCUUAGAGUUAUUUUAUUUUUAAUUAAUUAAUUUAUUUAUUUUUGAGACAGUGUCUCACUCUGUCACCCAGGCUGGAGUGCAGUAGCGCAAUGAUAGCUCACUGCAGCCUUGACCUCCCUGGCUCAAGUGAUCCUUCCACCUCAGUCUCCCGAAUAUCUAGGACUACAGGUGCACACCACCACACCCAGCUAAUGUAUUUUUGUGUGUGAAUACAGGGUUUUGCCAUGUUGUCCAGGCUAAUCUCAAACUCCUGGGCUUAAGCGAUCCACCCACCUCCACCUCCCAAAGGGCUGGGAUUACAGGUGUGAGCCACAUAGCCCAACCUAGAGUUAUUUUAGAUUCUCGUCAUCCCAGUUAACUGAAAGAACUGCCUGCUAAAG